ACAUCUGGUAUAGCGACUUUUACCAUUUGAUAUUUAAAAGAUAACUGCCAACCACAGUUCAAUAUGUGGUAACUCUACAGAUACAGGUGUCCAGCCACGGAAAGAGAUGCAGGAUGCCAGCUACAUGGGAGCUCUACUUGUCAAGGCUUGAAGUGGGAUGAGGACUUAUGGCGCAUUAUUUUUGCAAGGAAGAGACAGUCUACCUUACAAGCCAAAACAGACAAUCCAGUAACCAGUCUACCAUACUGUAUAGGAAUAGCCCUUUCUACUGGAUCGAGGGGCAGGGUAGUUGAAUAAGCGACGAGUUGAAAUACAUGCUUUUAGUGCUGCAGAAAUGUCGCCAUUGCUAUCGUCCGUUGUUAGGUACCAAAUUGGAAAUAUUCAGUGGUCCGCAAGGCUCAAAUACGGACAAUGCUCUGUUUAGGGUUGCAGAGAAGGGCAAGAGGAGUGGAUGACCGUGUUGAAUUUAUCUUCAAAUAUCUUCUGUGGAGCAAGGUCACUAAAUUGCUGAGUUGGAAUUUUUCUCCAGUGACAUGGACACAGAACAACGCUUUGGGUGGAUGCUGCAAAGAUUUUUUACAUCCUUGUAGCAGCGUUUCCUUUGUGCUUUCAUACUAGUGAAGUUUCUAUUUGGUUUAUUUUUCCCCACAUAAAUUAUGUAAUAAUUUUUGCUAUUGGGACAGUUAAUCCUAUUCUCAACGGAUUAAAAUUUGCCA
This is a long non-coding RNA of Cryptomeria japonica (Japanese cedar), 716 nucleotides long. RefSeq lists it as uncharacterized. NCBI's taxonomy places the organism in Eukaryota, Viridiplantae, Streptophyta, Pinopsida, Cupressales, Cupressaceae. The transcript has 2 exons. The record is from RefSeq and is a predicted model, not a curated record.